AGUUGUUGAUGUGGCUUUAGUGGAGAUUUUACUGAAUUAAAGCUAUGUCAGCAAUUAA
Molecule: microRNA precursor, 58 nt
Filed under: Tribolium castaneum (red flour beetle)
Lineage: Eukaryota; Metazoa; Arthropoda; Insecta; Coleoptera; Tenebrionidae
Description: Tca-Mir-3843_pre stem-loop
Source: RNAcentral